Molecule: ribosomal RNA, 765 nt
Filed under: Palmiascoma gregariascomum
Lineage: Eukaryota; Fungi; Ascomycota; Dothideomycetes; Pleosporales; Bambusicolaceae
Description: SSU rRNA
Rfam family: Eukaryotic small subunit ribosomal RNA
Source: RNAcentral
GGCACUUAUACCGUGAAACUGCCGAAUGGCUCAUUAAAAUCAGUUAUCGUUUAUUUGAUAGUACCUUACUACUUGGAUAACCGUGGUAAUUCUAGAGCUAAUACAUGCUGAAAACCCCGACUUCGGGAGGGGUGUAUUUAUUAGAUAAAAAACCAAUGCCCUUCGGGGCUUCUUGGUGAUUCAUGAUAACUUCUCAGAUCGCAUGGCCUUGCGCCGGCGACGGUUCAUUCAAAUUUCUGCCCUAUCAACUUUCGAUGGUAAGGUAUUGGCUUACCAUGGUUUCAACGGGUAACGGGGAAUUAGGGUUCGAUUCCGGAGAGGGAGCCUGAGAAACGGCUACCACAUCCAAGGAAGGCAGCAGGCGCGCAAAUUACCCAAUCCCGACACGGGGAGGUAGUGACAAUAAAUACUGAUACAGGGCUCUUUUGGGUCUUGUAAUUGGAAUGAGUACAAUUUAAACCUCUUAACGAGGAACAAUUGGAGGGCAAGUCUGGUGCCAGCAGCCGCGGUAAUUCCAGCUCCAAUAGCGUAUAUUAAAGUUGUUGCAGUUAAAAAGCUCGUAGUUGAACCUUUGGCCUGGCUGGUAGGUCCGCCUCACCGCGUGUACUUGUCCGGCCGGGGCCUUUUCUUCUGGAGAACCGCAUGCCCUUCACUGGGGUGUGUUGGGGACCAGGACUUUUACUUUGAAAAAAUUAGAGUGUUCAAAGCAGGCCUUUGCUCGAAUACGUUUAGCAUGGAAUAAUAGAAUAGGACGUGCGGGUCCUA